ACAUAUUCAGAACAUGGCAGCUUCUAGAAUUGGUUCAAUCUUCUGCUCGAGUGGCAGUGGCCAAAGGCCUGGAGCCGACCAAGGAGAGGUUAUCUAGGUAAGAAUCAUCAGUGGCUGAUCAUCCCUCAAAGACAAACAACUAGACAAGAUGUGGCUCCUGAUGGAAGAACGCAGGCCACCACCUACAAAGCACCCUGGCUGCCUCCCUCCCCCAGGGAUGAAGCUGGGACUUACCAUGCACACCAGUUUGUUCUCCUGGGUCUCCUUCUCAAAGGAGACCUCUGCCACCUCAUCGCCUCCUGCGAUCCUCUCCCCAACAUCACCACUGAGUCGCAUCACCUCCACGUGCAGCCGACCUGCCACCUGCAGCAAUGAGGGAAGGCAGAAACAUUUCUCCAGAUUUGGAAACAAGGCAUGAAGAGAAAACCAACCUCUCCUUUCUGGUUGAUGAUGGGAACAGCGUAUUGUAACUUCACAUCAUAGAAAAGUGACUCGAGGAAGACAUUGGCCACCCCAAUGAGACUGUGAUUUUCCUGCUCAUCAUAGAAUGGAUCAGCACGUUUGAAGUAUGAUCGUAUUACCUGUAAAGAGAUUGAGAACACACAACUUCAGAAAAACCAUUUACAAUAAAUGCAUUCAACCUACUGCUUUUUGAUGCACUCUAGGUUAUUAAACUUAACUUUCAUCAUCCUAA
This 694-nucleotide long non-coding RNA is filed under the name Homo sapiens (human). Its description in RNAcentral is "HSALNT0134686". The record is from RNAcentral. Lineage: Eukaryota; Metazoa; Chordata; Mammalia; Primates; Hominidae.